UCCGUUAUGGUGUAGUGGCUAACAUUAUCGCCUCUCAUCUGGUCCUGUAUAAGAUAGACGCGAUAGCCCAGGGUUCGAUUCCCUGCAACGGAA
Marasmius sp. AFHP31 is the source of this 93-nucleotide non-coding RNA. The record is from the annotation of a GenBank genome assembly. NCBI's taxonomy places the organism in Eukaryota, Fungi, Basidiomycota, Agaricomycetes, Agaricales, Marasmiaceae.